CUCUGGACUUAGAAACUGACACAGGCUGAUCUGCAGUUAAUAGCUGGCAAACUUUCAUUGCAGUAUAAUUCUCCUCAGUAUACUUCUGUUCGGGAAUAUGCUCUUCUAGUUCUGUGACUGACUGCCCACGUGCUAGAUUUGUAGGCUCAGGAUGAGAAACUAAAGUAGACUGUGGUGGAUCAGAGCUUACUGGCAUCUCCUCUGCUAAUCCACUUGUCUGAGGUUCAG
Molecule: non-coding RNA, 228 nt
Organism: Pelobates cultripes (western spadefoot toad)
Lineage: Eukaryota; Metazoa; Chordata; Amphibia; Anura; Pelobatidae
Source: the annotation of a GenBank genome assembly